This 253-nucleotide ribosomal RNA is filed under the name uncultured bacterium. RNAcentral describes it as "partial 16S ribosomal RNA". It matches the Rfam family "Bacterial small subunit ribosomal RNA", at positions 527 to 779 of the family's 1533-position model. The record is from RNAcentral.
CGAAGGUGCAAGCGUUACUCGGAAUCACUGGGCGUAAAGCGCACGUAGGCGGACUCGUAGGUCAAUUGUGAAAUACCUGGGCUCAACCCGGGAACUGCAGUUGAAACCGCUUGUCUUGAAUACCUGAGAGGGUGGGGGAAUACCUGGUGGAGAAGUGAAAUUCGUAGAGAUCAGGUGGAACACCGGAGGCGAAGGCGCCUGCCUGGCAGUGUAUUGACGCUGAGGUGCGAAAGUGCGGGGAGCAAACAGGAUU